GCAUAAAUUAUAUUAAAUUUAAUUAUUAAGAUUUUUAUUUUCCAGCUUGGGACAGUUGUUUGCACCUUGGAGAAGUAAAGUUUGCUGAAAUUCGGGGAAAUGAUUGUGGAUUUUUUAAAGAACGCCACGCUGAUUUGGCUAUCGCAUUGAUGGAUGGUUCUCGCAUGGAUGGCAGAACAAUUAAAGUUACAUAUUUUUAAAUAAAAUAACUUGAUUUUAGCUCAUAGAUUUCAUUAUUCCU
Molecule: long non-coding RNA, 241 nt
Organism: Ceratitis capitata (Mediterranean fruit fly)
Lineage: Eukaryota; Metazoa; Arthropoda; Insecta; Diptera; Tephritidae
Exons: 2
Source: RefSeq, a predicted model, not a curated record